AAUGGCUGCAGUAAUAUAACUGUACAAAGGUAGCAUAAUCAUUAGUUUUUUAAUUAAAAGCUUGUAUGAAAGGUUGGACGAAGUAAAAUCUGUCUCUUUUUAAUAAAAUUAGAAUUUAAUUUUUAAGUAAAAAAGCUUAAAUUUUUUUAAAAGACGAGAAGACCCUAUAGAGUUUAAUAAUUUAUUUUAAAUAAUUAAUUUAGAUUUAUUUAUUUUAUUUAUUAUUAAAUUAUUUUAUUGGGGUAAUAAAAAGAUUAAUAUAAUUCUUUUUUUUUAUUUACAUUAAUGUAUGAAUACAAUGAUCCAUUUUUUAUGAUUAAAAGAUUAAAUUACCUUAGGGAUAACAGCGUAAUUUUUUUAAAGAGUUCAUAUCGAUAAAAAAGUUUGCGACCUCGAUGUUGGAUUAAAGAUUAAUUUAGGUGUAGAAGUUUAAAUUUUUGGUCUGUUCGACCAUUAAAUCUUUACAUGAUCUGAGUUCAAACCGGUGUAAGCCAGGUCGGUUUCUA
RNAcentral lists this ribosomal RNA (506 nucleotides) under Anophthalmus hirtus. Its description in RNAcentral is "partial 16S ribosomal RNA". It matches the Rfam family "Bacterial large subunit ribosomal RNA", at positions 1926 to 2640 of the family's 2925-position model. The record is from RNAcentral. Lineage: Eukaryota; Metazoa; Arthropoda; Insecta; Coleoptera; Carabidae.